ACACGACUCUCGGCAACGGAUAUCUAGGCUCUCGCAUCGAUGAAGAACGUAGCAAACUGCGAUACUUGGUGUGAAUUGCAGAAUCCCGUGAACCAUCGAGUCUUUGAACGCAAGUUGCGCCCGAAGCCAUUAGGCUGAGGGCACGUCUGCCUGGGCGUCACGCAUCGCGU
RNAcentral lists this ribosomal RNA (170 nucleotides) under Hoya bilobata. RNAcentral's name for it is "5.8S ribosomal RNA". It matches the Rfam family "5.8S ribosomal RNA". Rfam says of the family: 5.8S ribosomal RNA (5.8S rRNA) is a component of the large subunit of the eukaryotic ribosome. The record is from RNAcentral. Lineage: Eukaryota; Viridiplantae; Streptophyta; Magnoliopsida; Gentianales; Apocynaceae.